GCCGGGCACAGUGCCGUAUGCCUAUAGUCCCAGCACUUUGGGAGGCUGAGACAGGAGGAUUGCUUGAGCCCAGGAAUUCAAGACUAGCCUGGGCAACAUAGCAAGACCCCGUCUCUA
Molecule: unclassified non-coding RNA, 117 nt
Organism: Pongo abelii (Sumatran orangutan)
Lineage: Eukaryota; Metazoa; Chordata; Mammalia; Primates; Hominidae
Rfam family: Metazoan signal recognition particle RNA
About the family: The signal recognition particle (SRP) is a universally conserved ribonucleoprotein. It is involved in the co-translational targeting of proteins to membranes.
Source: Ensembl